RNAcentral lists this ribosomal RNA (607 nucleotides) under Salmonella enterica subsp. enterica serovar Kottbus. Its description in RNAcentral is "partial 23S ribosomal RNA". It matches the Rfam family "Bacterial large subunit ribosomal RNA", at positions 582 to 1190 of the family's 2925-position model. Lineage: Bacteria; Pseudomonadati; Pseudomonadota; Gammaproteobacteria; Enterobacterales; Enterobacteriaceae. The record is from RNAcentral.
CCCUUUUGGGUGUGACUGCGUACCUUUUGUAUAAUGGGUCAGCGACUUAUAUUCUGUAGCAAGGUUAACCGCAUAGGGGAGCCGUAGGGAAACCGAGUCUUAACCGGGCGUUAAGUUGCAGGGUAUAGACCCGAAACCCGGUGAUCUAGCCAUGGGCAGGUUGAAGGUUGGGUAACACUAACUGGAGGACCGAACCGACUAAUGUUGAAAAAUUAGCGGAUGACCUGUGGCUGGGGGUGAAAGGCCAAUCAAACCGGGAGAUAGCUGGUUCUCCCCGAAAGCUAUUUAGGUAGCGCCUCGUGAAUUCAUCUCCGGGGGUAGAGCACUGUUUCGGCUAGGGGGCCAUCCCGGCUUACCAACCCGAUGCAAACUGCGAAUACCGGAGAAUGUUAUCACGGGAGACACACGGCGGGUGCUAACGUCCGUCGUGAAGAGGGAAACAACCCAGACCGCCAGCUAAGGUCCCAAAGUCAUGGUUAAGUGGGAAACGAUGUGGGAAGGCCCAGACAGCCAGGAUGUUGGCUUAGAAGCAGCCAUCAUUUAAAGAAAGCGUAAUAGCUCACUGGUCGAGUCGGCCUGCGCGGAAGAUGUAACGGGGCUAAACCAU